Perognathus longimembris pacificus (Pacific pocket mouse) is the source of this 200-nucleotide long non-coding RNA. RefSeq lists it as uncharacterized. The record is from RefSeq and is a predicted model, not a curated record. The transcript is spliced from 3 exons. Lineage: Eukaryota; Metazoa; Chordata; Mammalia; Rodentia; Heteromyidae.
UAAAUUUGCAGGUAAGAGUGCAAGACUUAAAUAAGGCCUUUGCCCUCAUUGCAUCUGGAUCUUAGAUUCAGUUAGUUCUCAAGCUCUGUUGCCAGUAACAGAUCUGCCUUUGAAUAAACUGGUGUGGCCGCAGUAUCCUGUAUUUCAUGUUUAACCUAAAAGAUCCCUGUGGGUCAAAGCCAAUAAUAAAUAAUUUCAGA